Triticum dicoccoides is the source of this 2405-nucleotide long non-coding RNA. RefSeq lists it as uncharacterized. The transcript has 4 exons. The record is from RefSeq and is a predicted model, not a curated record. Lineage: Eukaryota; Viridiplantae; Streptophyta; Magnoliopsida; Poales; Poaceae.
AUCCUCCCGCGCUAGGGAAGGCGUCGCGGCCGCCCAUCCUCCCGCACCGGGGAAGGCGGCGCCGCCGCCCAUCCUCCUGCGUCGGAGAAGGCGUCGCAGCCGCCGUUCCUUCGCGUGACCAGAGAUGCAACCGUUGUCGUUGUUCAUCCGCACAGCUAGGAAUGAAGCACGUACUGACGCACCCGUCAUCCUAAACUGCAGUAGUUCAACAGAUAACAAAACACAGAGAUUUCAAGCAGGCCUCCUAUCAUCAACAGUUUUCAAGCACCAGUGUACGUCUAGAUCCCAAUAAUGCAUCAUCACAUUGCUUUUACUAGACAACUACAUGUUUGUUUGCCAUGAUUAUUUUAAUAAUAAAGCAAAAGCUUAUUUGCUUGUUGCUUCCCUGUUUAAAUCUUCACUGGAAAGGCAUUACACAGUUACUAAUAAGCAGAGUAUACUCUUAAUAAGUAUGUGUGGUAAUCAACUCUGAUCAAUACUAAGUCGAUUUCAGAAAUCUGGAAAACAGAAAAACCAAAUCCAUGCCCACAGCAACUAUUAAUCGGUGAGGAGAAUUUCACAAUACAGCCCUAGAUAGGAUGUAGCAGGAAACAGGGAUGAGGAACUGUCUCAAUCUAACCCUUGCCUACAACUUAAGAAGAGAAGAAGCAAGAUAAGGGAGACGAAUCGGAGAGAAGAAGCAAAUGGCCACUGCAUCGCCGUCGCUACCGCCGGAGAGAUGGCCGCCCCAUCCCUAUCACAUCUGCCUUGCAGUGCAGCCUCACAGCACUAUGUUCCUGUCCAAUCCACAUCUUAUUUCCAUGCAUGAAUGUCUAACGCAAGGAGAAGACCCUCUAGCCUCUACGAGCGCUUGCCCAAGCUAGCGUCACCGGCAGCAACUACGCAAUCAUGUCCUUGCCCCCAGCCCCUGAAACCUCUCACCAACGUGUACUUCCUCCCAUCUUAUCCUCAUGAAGGUUCAAAGUGCCAACCAAGGAUUCUCUUCCAUCUUUUUCAUAAUUGGUGGGCUAAUCUUCUAAUGUUUUGCCCCCAGCAAUUGAUUCCUAACAAAAUUUACGUCCCUGUUUUGCCUCCUGCUCACCCUAAUUCAUGUGGAGCUAGCAACUUAAAUUGGGCAUGGAACAAUUCGUAAGUGCCAUUAAUUACAGUUUGUACGUACAGUUUUGCUUCUUCAUUUUCCUAUGUGAUUACUUUACCUCAGCUCAUUGAUUUUAGGCGUUCUUUAAAAUUAUAACAAGAGGGUAUAUAAUGAGGUAUAUGUGAUAUUUCAGUUUUUGUUCUUUCAAUUGUUUUCGUCUUACCUCUAAUUUAUUUCUUUAUUAUAUAGCUCCUUUUAUUUCCUCGUUGAACUUGAACCACAUGUGGACCAGUAUGCGCACGCCUCAUUGCAUUGAUAUUUGUAAUAGGGAGAUAUUGUCCCUCUUGCAUUGUAAUAAAUAAAUCAUGGUAUCUGUGUUUGGCUCACGGCUCACCUACCUUUGAUUAUACACGUGAUAUUUUUUUUGGAAAUGUAUUGUAUAAUACACUAAUGCUUUUCACAAUUUUUGUUUUAGUGAGUAACUACAUAUUUGGUAGCUAGAUUGUCCACUUCCGACAAAUGGAUAUUAGACGUCUAAUUAUACGUGCACUCCAGACCAUUCUAUAAAUCAGGUAUGCCUAAUAUUUCUUUGAAAUGACUACAUGGUUGUGUCCAUGGAGCCAUGUGCUACUUUCAAGUGCGGGGUAAUAAGCCGGUACGUAACAAUACCCUUGAUGUUGCAUGCUAUUUGGGCACUAUGUGUGUCACAUGGCUUGGUUUAAGCAUUCAGUAUUACAUAGGCAUUGCCUUUGUUAUCGAAAAUAGUUUAGAUGUAUCAUCGUUUGCCUAAAUUUGGCUAGAGUUGAGAUGAAAUCUCCUAGCUAUGAGAUAACAUAGUAUACAGAGUGUUCUGCACUAGAUUAGAUAGGGUGGUGAUCUACUUUUCUUUCUGUUCAGACUUUCAGUUUGGUUGCAUCUUGCCAUGUCUUAUUGGAGAGAACAUGUAGCCAUCAGUUGAUAACUCAAAUUAUCCCGAAUAUGGUGAUGCUUUUUUUUGUGUUGUUGCUUCUGCAGGUUUUGAGAAUUUUAUUCAUGGAUCAGGAAAUUAUAAUUUGUGACUUUGUAAUUUUCAGAUUCUUAUCUCAAUGAGCCAUGGAUAUUCAAAACGUGUGCAGACAUUUCUAUGGUCACCAAGAUAAAAUGAUGAUGCAUGGCUCAGAUGUUGAUUGCAAGGUUAAGAAUUGGAGCUACUACAAGAUAAUUAGAACGCCAAUUUUAGGAUUAAUGUUUCAAACAUUAUAGUUGAUUGCAAGGUCAAGAAUUGGGCCACUACAAGAUAUAGUUUAACCUCCUGUAAUCUUUGGAUCAUGUUUUUUGUAAUGCAACA